Molecule: long non-coding RNA, 468 nt
Organism: Dasypus novemcinctus (nine-banded armadillo)
Lineage: Eukaryota; Metazoa; Chordata; Mammalia; Cingulata; Dasypodidae
Source: Ensembl
UAACUCCAAAUCCAGUAACUUUUUUCCAUACAAACAGGAUAUCAAGUCUGCAAAAGGGAUGUGCUUUCCCAGUUGGAACAGGAAGAAGUGUCAAGAGAAGGAGUAGUUUUUCCUCAAUGCCAGAAUCCAGGGAGGAAAUGUGCCUUUAAAACAUGGGAAAUGAUAGAAAUGGUAUUCAGUAAACCUACCUAUAGGAAAGACACUUCUAAAAUCAUGUCAUUGCACAGAUCUCACACCCAGAAGAAUUCCUUUAAAUGUAUUUCUUUGCAAGAAGAUUCCUCUCUCACAUCCAUAGUGAACCAAUAUGCAUUGAUUCACUUAACAAAGAAAUCCUGUUUCAGGAAACCACCUCCAGCAGUCCUCAGUGACUACUCAUAUUUUAAACAACAUAAGCCUCUUCACCAUACAUGUAAAUCAUAUGAAUACUACCAAAAUGAUAAAAAUUGUAUCCAGUGCUCUGAACUCAGA